CCUACGGGUGGCAGCAGUGAGGAAUAUUGGUCAAUGGACGAGAGUCUGAACCAGCCAAGUAGCGUGAAGGAUGACUGCCCUAUGGGUUGUAAACUUCUUUUAUAUGGGAAUAAAAUGUUCCACGUGUGGGAUUUUGUAUGUACCAUAUGAAUAAGGAUCGGCUAACUCCGUGCCAGCAGCCGCGGUAAUACGGAGGAUCCGAGCGUUAUCCGGAUUUAUUGGGUUUAAAGGGAGCGUAGGUGGAUUGGUAAGUCAGUUGUGAAAGUUUGCGGCUCAACCGUAGAAUUGCAGUUGAAACUGGCAGUCUUGAGUACAGUAGAGGUGUGCGGAAUGCGUGGUGUAGCGGUGAAAUGCUUAGAUAUCACGAAGAACUCCGAUUGCGAAGGCAGUUCACUGGACUGCAACUGACACUGAGGCUCGAAAGUGUGGGUAUCAAACAGGAUUAGAUACCCCUGUAGUC
Molecule: ribosomal RNA, 460 nt
Filed under: uncultured bacterium
Lineage: Bacteria
Description: partial 16S ribosomal RNA
Rfam family: Bacterial small subunit ribosomal RNA
Source: RNAcentral